Molecule: non-coding RNA, 1008 nt
Organism: Macaca mulatta (Rhesus monkey)
Lineage: Eukaryota; Metazoa; Chordata; Mammalia; Primates; Cercopithecidae
Source: RefSeq, a predicted model, not a curated record
ACAAAUUCACAUGCCAGUCGAGGCUGAUUCACCUGUUCAGUGCUGUGAGUGAUUUGAAGAGGACCACCUUCUCAGCACUUCUUUGGCCCAGAGUCACAGGAACACUCUUCUCAAGAAUGUGGUUCUGGGACCUCUGAGAGGGUCUGGAAUUAGGGUUCAGAUACCAUCCAUCUGUUAUGUGCUUUGAAGAUGCCACUCCAUCUGUGGGAUUCAAUUUACAUAAACUGAAGACUAUUCUUCUGAGUUGAAGUAAGGAGAGGCAUCUAUCCUCUCCUCCUGCAAAAUUAUUUGAUCUCCUGGAAGCAAAAAGCCCACUAUGAAGUUGUUCUUGCCAUGGACUUCUGGAGGAGCUGACUGUCCUUUGGGAAGCUACAAAUACAGCCUUAAAAUCUGUUAGCGGGGAAGAGAGAGAGGCUUUUUCUGAGUGAUCAGUUAUUGACGGCCUUCUGUGCAUUGGGCCCUGUGCUAGAAGCUGAAGAGUAUUCAAAAAUGCAAGCCAUCAAAGAGAAGAUAAUAUAGUUGUGAGAUGAUAUGAGGAGAGAUCAAAGGAGAAGUCAGUGUCCAAGAUAGCAACCAAUCGGAGCCCUCACAAGGCUGCGCCCCAUUCAUGAACAAAAGGAGCAUCCAGGCAGUGAGUACUGUGCGUGAUGUACGAAGAGUGGUGUGCAUGGUGGACAGAGAGUGCUGUGAGUUCAGAGUACGGUGAGGUCACUGAGGACUGGGAUGGGCUGGAAAGGUUUCAAGGAACAGGAGAAAUGCGAGCCAGACCUGGAACCUAGUUAGCAUUUGGAGAGCAGAAUCACUGGACGUGUGUGAAGUGACUGAAGGAAGAAGAGGGGAAAGGAAUGAUUGUGUUAAGUGGCAAAAACCCAGCCAUAGAGCAAGGUGAGCUUAGGGGAAGUCUGGUUUGACUGUAUAGGAGGAGUCCUGGGAGAUAGGGCUGAGAGGGAGAUUGGUGUCAGAUUAUGGAAAGCUUUGGAGGUCAGGCUAAGGACUUCAAUUUCCAUG